This is a long non-coding RNA of Corapipo altera (White-ruffed manakin), 2037 nucleotides long. RefSeq lists it as uncharacterized. NCBI's taxonomy places the organism in Eukaryota, Metazoa, Chordata, Aves, Passeriformes, Pipridae. The record is from RefSeq and is a predicted model, not a curated record. The transcript has 2 exons.
CAAACAAAAAACCUCAUGCCACCGACUUUUGUUUUCAGAGCUGAUCUGGAAUCAAAACACUGGAAAAGCACCUAUAGUUCGUCUUGCCUAUUAUUUUAUUCAAGUCAAUCAGACUUGUGGUCUAUUCUUGCUCUGAUUAUGCUGCACAGUUACAAUAAAUGGACGAAGCUGAAGCAUUCCUGCAGGCAGUUUAUAGAAAGUAUAUGUAUAUGCCUGUGUAUGCACACUCAGGGAGAGAAAGUUGACUGUAAGGGACACAACAAAAUAUCCAUAUUUAAGAAAUGUGAAUUGACUCGCUGACUUAUCUCACUUAUUGUACAAAGAUUCACUCUGUGCUGAAAUUUUUUUAAAAUUAGAUUUUAAAUAUGUGUUGACAGGAUGAAUUUGUACAGUGUGAGUAACUGCAGAGAGAAAUGACAGCUCUGCUUUUGUUAUUAAACUACUGUUUGGAAAAUAAUGGACUGUGUACAAAAAUUGAUUAUUAUUUUGCCAAUUGCAUUAUUGCAGCUAAUAACGAUCAUUAAGAAAGAAAUCCAGAAAGCUACAUGCUUUUGUGUCUUAGAAGCUGCUAUUCACUGGUGAGCCAAAAAUACAUGUUUUUAAGGUAAUUUGUCAGUAAGUCUCCUGUUAUUAAUGUGAAGUAAAUACUAGAUGUGUGAGCUAGAAAUGUUUCACUUCAAACUGUGUUCAUUUCUUCUUCACUCAGAGUUAAUAAACAGUGCAAGAGACUUUCUAAAUUUAAUUUAGAUUUGCAUAUAAAAGGUCCUAUUCUGUACCGUAGUGGCACAAAAGACAGGCUUUGCAAUGUUAAAUAUUCCUUUUAAUAACGGUUUAUUUUAAUAUAUUUACUAAAUUAGGUACCCGAGAGAAUCAUCUACAACGGUGAUGUGAAAAUCCCUGUCACCUGAGGUCAAAAAAAAAAAAAAAAGUCUCCCAGAAGACCCGGAGUGGUGAUGCCUGGAUGCAGAGGAGAUCACACUGCUUAUAAAUCUGCACCAUGAGGAGGCCAAAAGUUUCUGCAGCAGCAGGAGGUAAGCCAGGACUGCUGGUGGGUGUAAGGAACAGAGAGCAAUGCCACAUGCACCCGAGAAGAAGGCAGCAGCACCCCUGAGGAUGGAGACUUUGGAGCAGUGUCAUGGUCCUGCACAGAAAACUUGAAGAGAUCUUCAGGUGGGAACACACCAUCCUGCUGGCUGCUUGUGUGGUUUAGUCCAUGGACCUCUGGGGUCUGCAUGCCAGAGACUGGAAACUCUUGACUUACCCUAAAUGUCCUCUUUGUGGACUUCUGAUGUGAUAGGAAUGGCACAAAAAAAUUCAAUAUAUCUGCUUCACCAUAACAUUUUCAGCCUGCUAACUUUCCCAGGACUACUUUCUGCUCAAAUUACUGGAACUUAAUUACAUGAGUUUUAAUUUCAUUUGCUUGGCCAGCUUUAAAAACAUGUAUUCAAAUUUGAACCGCAAGGACAGAAUUUUGGGAGCCUCUUUGUCCUCUCACUUUGUGUUAGUUUAAAUGAAGAAACUGUGUCUGUGAAUCUGCUUUACUACACCUAUUCCAAGUCAGUCUCUCUUCUGGAGAGACUUCCACGACUCUCAGCAGUUUAAGGGGGAGCACAAAUAACCCCUUAUGUUAAGGUUUAUGUUUUUGAAACUGUGCAAACAAUAGAUAUUUGUCUCCUGCUUGUGCAUUUUCUUGUAAAUAAAAUGUGUUGAGACCAGAGAUGGAGUUACGCUGACUUUACACCAGAUAAGGAUUUGUAUUGAGAUUUGACACGUGUUGUAUUAUCCAUAUGUUUCUUGAGUAGGUCUUGCAAUGUUUAAUUAUUAAAAAAAAAAAAAGAAGGGGAAGAAGAAUCAAAGAAGGGACAUAGAGAGAGGAGGUGAAAGGACAUGGAUGGGAAGUGGUGGAGUUGGAGGAUAACAUUGGCAAUCGAGGCAUUAUCUGAGCAUUCCUAUGAUUAGGACUUUAUCUUUCUCGCUUCACUAUUUCAUUAUAAUCUGCUGCUUAGCUGAUAAGUAAUAAAUGGCCUCCAAAUUUUA